Molecule: ribosomal RNA, 465 nt
Filed under: Vreelandella stevensii
Lineage: Bacteria; Pseudomonadati; Pseudomonadota; Gammaproteobacteria; Oceanospirillales; Halomonadaceae
Description: partial 16S ribosomal RNA
Rfam family: Bacterial small subunit ribosomal RNA
Source: RNAcentral
CCUACGGGGGGCAGCAGUGGGGAAUAUUGGACAAUGGGCGAAAGCCUGAUCCAGCCAUGCCGCGUGUGUGAAGAAGGCCUUCGGGUUGUAAAGCACUUUCAGUGGGGAAGAAAGCCUUGGGGCUAAUACCCUCGAGGAAGGACAUCACCCACAGAAGAAGCACCGGCUAACUCCGUGCCAGCAGCCGCGGUAAUACGGAGGGUGCGAGCGUUAAUCGGAAUUACUGGGCGUAAAGCGCGCGUAGGCGGUCUGAUAAGCCGGUUGUGAAAGCCCCGGGCUCAACCUGGGAACGGCAUCCGGAACUGUCAGGCUAGAGUGCAGGAGAGGAAGGUAAAAUUCCCGGUGUAGCGGUGAAAUGCGUAGAGAUCGGGAGGAAUACCAGUGGCGAAGGCGGCCUUCUGGACUGACACUGACGCUGAGGUGCGAAAGCGUGGGUAGCAAACAGGAUUAGAUACCCUAGUAGUC